RNAcentral lists this ribosomal RNA (266 nucleotides) under uncultured bacterium. RNAcentral's name for it is "partial 16S ribosomal RNA". It matches the Rfam family "Bacterial small subunit ribosomal RNA", at positions 793 to 1055 of the family's 1533-position model. The record is from RNAcentral.
GUCCACGCCCUAAACGAUGCCAACUAGUUGUUGGGGAAGGAGACUUCCUUAGUAACGAAGCUAACGCGUGAAGUUGGCCGCCUGUGGAGUACGGUCGCAAGAUUAAAACUCAAAGGAAUUGACGGGGACCCGCACAAGCGGUGGAUGAUGUGGAUUAAUUCGAUGCAACGCGAAAACCUUAACCUACCCUUGACAUGCCAGGAACUCUGCUGAGAGGUGGAGGUGCCCGAAAGGGAACCUGGACACAGGUGCUGCAUGGCUGUCGU